UACAGAGACUGCAAGCGUUAUUCGGAUUCACUGGGCGUAAAGGGCGCGCAGGCGGUUGGGCGUGUCAGAUGUGAAAUCCCGAGGCUCAACCUCGGAACUGCGUCUGAAACUACUCGACUAGAGUACUGGAGAGGGUAACGGAAUUCACGGUGUAGCAGUGAAAUGCGUAGAUAUCGGGAGGAACACCAGAGGCGAAGGCGGUUACCUGGACAGUUACUGACGCUCAGGCACGAAAGCAUGGGGAGCAAAAGGG
RNAcentral lists this ribosomal RNA (253 nucleotides) under uncultured bacterium. RNAcentral describes it as "partial 16S ribosomal RNA". It matches the Rfam family "Bacterial small subunit ribosomal RNA", at positions 524 to 776 of the family's 1533-position model. The record is from RNAcentral.